GGCACCCAAUAAAUACAUAAUUAUUAGAAUGAAUACAUUCUAUCACAAUGUCUUAAUUCAACAGAUUCUUGGCACCUGUGGAUUUAACACUGGUAGUUUCUACUAUGUACAAAUGGCUUUCUAGGGUCAUGGCAUUCAGGUAUCAAAGAAACUGAUGUUUUCAGCUCAUGUUCACAUAGUUACUCUUACAAAGUAAUAUAAUCCUGGUUCUACUACUUACAAUCUGUGUAACCUUGAACAAAUUCCUUAAACUCUUGUGGAGCUGCUGUGAAGGUUAAAUGAGUUAAUUCACAUAAAUACUUAAAAUCGCAUCUGAUACACAGUAGAUAAUAUUCAAUAAAUAUUAGCUCUGUGUGUGUGUGUGUGCGUGUGUCAUACUUAUGAAAAGAAAGCCAACAGGUGGUACCAAAAGUGAAGAUAAAAUAAGAUAGUCUAAUCAAGUGAUGGUUUUCACACACACAAAAAGGAUGUUUUAUGGUGGAAAAUGUUAUUCUAUAGCUGUGUUCUUGAACUUUAAAAGUAGCAAUGAUCUUGAAAUAAAUCUCUCAGAAAUGUGAAGACUGUACUUCUUGCUGAAAUCAAUAUAACAGCCUAACAGGUGUCUCCUGUCUUGAUAAAGUAGGCCAUUCCUAAAUCUAUCCCAUGCUGUGGAUGUUAUUCCCACUGCUAAAACAACUUUACUCACAGUCUGUUCAAUGCUAAUCUCAAAUAUAAUCUCAUCAGUAAAUUCUUUUCCUAAUCAUUUUCCAAGAUACCUGAUUACUCCUGUCUUUGAAAUAUCCAAAUAGUCUACAGCCGUACCAUCCUGAAUGUGCCCUAUCUCAUCUGAAACAUCCAAAUAACCUCGAACUUCUUAUUCUACUACAUAGUAAAAUCAUUUGUGUACUUAUCCUACUAGAUUAUAUGAGACUGCUUCUUGUUCAUCAUGCAUUCAAGAUUUACUGAGUGCUUGUCAUAUGCGAGGUACAGAGGAUACAAAGGCAAUGAGGACAUGCAAUAAAUAAUGCAGCAACACCAUAGCAGUAGGUACACUAUGCAGAGAUGGCAUAAAUGAGGAUGAUCUCUUCUACCACACAUCUGCAGUAUCUAGAAUGGCACAACAUGUAUGGUAGGGACCCAUAAGUAUUUGUCAACUUUAAUUCCUACCUGCUUUUUGAAGUUUUUCCAUACCACUAUAGCUUCCCUUUUUUUUUGGUUCUCCUCAAGGAGAAUGGUAUAGACAGAAUUUGCUCCCUAAAAGUCUGUCUACACCAUUCUGCACAUGGUAUCUUUUAAUCUAUGUGUUAGCAUCACAGGCUGUUAUUUAAUAUUUUACAUAUAAAUAUGUCCUAUCUUCCCCAACUAUAAAACAUGUGUUCAAAAGAGCAAGAAAUCCUAGAGCACUCUGUACUUAUUACUAAGCAUUUAGUAUCUGUUCAAUGGUCCUACAAUUUCCGAAAGCAACCAAAAUAUGUCAUGCACCUAUUUACAUAGCUGAUAGCAUCACUUCUGAACCACCCCACCUGUGCUCUGGGUUCUCUAUGAAACAAGUAGCUUUCACAUAGGUGUUCUUAAAGCAGGAGGCCAAAGAAAUGUCUGCUGGAAGCAUGAGACUAUGUCAUUGUUCUCAAGCUAGGAGUCCAGAACUUAGAAAUUCUGACAGAUUUAGCUCUUCUUCCAUCUAGAUGCCUGGGUCCUCUGAGAAUUCAGACACAAAUUUGUAUAAUGAAUUCACCCAGAUAUUUUGCUAAGCUAGGUGCCUAUAAGAUAAUAUGCACACAGAAAGCACUCAGUAAAUGACAGUUUCCUUUUUCUCCAAUCUUACAAGGUCCUAGAUCCUGUUGGUAACUAAGAAAAGGUAAAUGCAACUAUCAACCACUUAAUUCCAAUGCUUUGACUAUCCAGGAGAAAUUAAUUCCUGGUUCCCUGUUGAUUCUAAUCUAGGAGACAGCUUAAGGGAGCUCAUGGGUCUUGAAGCUUAUAAGGUGUACAGUAAGUCUUCACUUAAUGCCACUGAUCAUUCUUGGAAACUGUGAUUUCAGGCAAAAAUACAUACAGCAGGUCCUUGAAUAGUGUUGUUUCAUUCAACUUCAUUCCAUUGUAAUGUUGAUGAGAACAAAAAAUUGGUUUUGUUAUAUGUAGUUUUGCUUCAAGUCGCAGUUUCAAAAAACUUAUGUUAAGUGAGGACUUAAUUCACCUGAAAGCUUAUCACACACUCAAAUAUAACAAAUAGGAAACAUUAUGCAACUUGAAUACAAGAGUAUGUUCAUUGGUUUCUAUAGUUAUCAUUCCAUGUACAGUAUUCACGUGAAUUAUUGGAUGAAAAGUCCAAUUAUUUACAUAUUUGGAUACAAUCAUACUAUACUAGAACUGAAGACCAUACAGGUCUCUGUUCCAGCAUUUUCUGGCUACCUCAUGGCACUGCAUAAUCACUUCCACCCAAAUCUAGCCAAAUCUAAGUUUAAGCACUUCUGUAUCUAUUCCAAGACAAACUCCCUUUCUUGUUUAAUCUCAGUGACUCUUACUUCUAGAGAGGGCACUCUUCCUUCUAUAUCUCUUCCACCUCUAACCUUUCUAACCAUCAAGAACAUACAAUAGAUAGUAGAUCUCACAUUUUUAAUGGCACAAAUUACAAUAAAAGUUUGCCAACUGAACAGAAUUAAUAGUGGUACUCAAUGCACUUGGGAAACGAACUUUUAGUUACACCAAUCUCAAUGUGCAAUUACAGUAAGUUGCCAUAAGAAUAAUAUCUCU
This 2733-nucleotide long non-coding RNA is filed under the name Homo sapiens (human). RNAcentral describes it as "HSALNT0191220". The record is from RNAcentral. Lineage: Eukaryota; Metazoa; Chordata; Mammalia; Primates; Hominidae.